This 158-nucleotide ribosomal RNA is filed under the name Entoloma nitidum. RNAcentral describes it as "Entocybe nitida 5.8S ribosomal RNA". It matches the Rfam family "5.8S ribosomal RNA". From Rfam's summary of the family: 5.8S ribosomal RNA (5.8S rRNA) is a component of the large subunit of the eukaryotic ribosome. It is transcribed by RNA polymerase I as part of the 45S precursor that also contains 18S and 28S rRNA. Lineage: Eukaryota; Fungi; Basidiomycota; Agaricomycetes; Agaricales; Entolomataceae. The record is from RNAcentral.
CAACUUUCAACAACGGAUCUCUUGGCUCUCGCAUCGAUGAAGAACGCAGCGAAAUGCGAUAAGUAAUGUGAAUUGCAGAAUUCAGUGAAUCAUCGAAUCUUUGAACGCACCUUGCGCUCUUUGGUAUUCCGAAGAGCAUGCCUGUUUGAGUGUCGUGA